CCCUUAGACACUCUAGGCGGCACGCGCGCUACAAUGGGUGGAAGAACGUGUUACUGCCUCCGAAAGGAGGGGUGAAUCACGAAUCCUUGCCCGUGAAUGGGAUAGUUUGUUGCAAUUUUCGGACUUGAACUAGGAAUCCCUUGUAAACAUGCUCAAGAAUAGCGUGUUGAAUACGUCCCUGCCGUUUGUACACACCGCCCGUCGUUUCUUCCGACUGAUACUCAUUGUGAGUUGCAAGGACCCUUUAUUGGGAAAUUGCUGCAAAUGCUUUGUAUUGGAGGAAGAAAAAGUCGUAACA
RNAcentral lists this ribosomal RNA (298 nucleotides) under uncultured eukaryote. Its description in RNAcentral is "partial 18S ribosomal RNA". It matches the Rfam family "Eukaryotic small subunit ribosomal RNA", at positions 1470 to 1796 of the family's 1831-position model. The record is from RNAcentral.